Molecule: transfer RNA, 73 nt
Filed under: Pseudobutyrivibrio sp. ACV-2
Lineage: Bacteria; Bacillati; Bacillota; Clostridia; Lachnospirales; Lachnospiraceae
Description: tRNA_Pro_GGG
Rfam family: tRNA
About the family: Transfer RNA (tRNA) molecules are approximately 80 nucleotides in length.
Source: RNAcentral
CGGGGUGUGGCUCAGCUGGUAGAGCACUAGACUGGGGGUCUAGGGGCCGCGCGUUCAAGUCGCGUCACUCCGA